UCUCCUUUUUACCCGCUAAGAAAGUCGUCAGGCUUUAUUAUGACCAAACAUGCCUGCCAACAAUGUCAUUGACUAUUCGCUUAACCCUAUUUAAAUAGUGAAAAGUGUGUGAGCGCUCGGUCGCUUCUCACGGAAGUGUGUUUGCGGACCGUCAUGAAACAACUAGCAAUGCUACAUGCUAACCAAACAGCGCUGCGCAACGGAAGUAUCGCGCGCUCUGCACGAAGACGAGAGAGGGGUGGACUAACGUGUUUAAGUUCAGAUGGUGUCAGGGGAGAGGAGAGCAAUGAAGCUGCAACGAGCUGAGCACCGAGUGAAGUGAGCCGAGUGACCGCCUCUGCUCCCUGAAGAGCGCCGUGAAGUGAACUGCAAUCGUCUGCUGAAGAAGUACAAGCGCUGCCAUCUGGGACUUGUGCGCUCCAGCAGUGAGCCUGUGAUGAUAUCAAGCCUGCCAGCACGACCAGAUCACACACGUGCAUCAGCCCCACUCUCCCAGCCCUAAAAGGCAAAGAUGCACAGCUGUGUGUGGACAGACCCUUAUCUGCUUCCACUGCCACACCUCCCCAUCAAUAUCGGGCGAUAAAUCAGUCCUGCAGAGGAGCGUGCUCGGGUUCCGCAUGCAUGCGUAGAUAUAUGGCGCACAGCUGAGCUGUGAUGAAUGCUCAGCUGAACCAUGAAGAGUCCAUGUAAGGCUGCAGUGCCACACCGGGUGGGCUGCUCAACUACUCCCGUCAACAGAAGGCUUCGAAGUGGCUCCAUUGGUGGAUCCUGAGGCAGCCAAGUUCAGGAAGAUGGUCGGAGCCACACCCACUACAGCGGUGAGUGGCAUCAUCGUCCAGUCGACGCACGUUGAAAUGUGAUUGAAACAAAGCAGUAGC
Molecule: long non-coding RNA, 878 nt
Organism: Synchiropus splendidus (mandarinfish)
Lineage: Eukaryota; Metazoa; Chordata; Actinopteri; Syngnathiformes; Callionymidae
Exons: 5
Source: RefSeq, a predicted model, not a curated record